GAUGAACGCAGGCGGCGUGCCUAAUACAUGCAAGUCGAACGCGCAGCGAAAGGUGCUUGCACCUUUCAAGCGAGUGGCGAACGGGUGAGUAACACGUGGAUAACCUGCCUCAAGGCUGGGGAUAACAUUUGGAAACAGAUGCUAAUACCGAAUAAAACUUAGUAUCGCAUGAUACAAAGUUAAAAGGCUCUACGGCGUCACCUAGAGAUGGAUCCGCGGUGCAUUAGUGAGUUGGUGGGGUAAAGGCUUACCAAGACGAUGAUGCAUAGCCGGAUUGAGAAACUGAGCGGCCACAUUGGGGCUGAGACACGGUCCAAACUCCUUCGGGGUGCUGCAGUAGUGGAUCUUCCCCAAUGGGCGCAAGCCUGAUGGAGCAACGCCGCGUGUGUGAUGAAGGCUUUCGGGUCGUAAAGCACUGUUGUAUGGGAAGAAAUGCUAAAAUAGGGAAUGAUUUUAGUUUGACGGUACCAUACCAGAAAGGGACGGCUAAAUACGUGCCAGCCGCCGCGGUAA
This 513-nucleotide ribosomal RNA is filed under the name uncultured bacterium. Its description in RNAcentral is "partial 16S ribosomal RNA". It matches the Rfam family "Bacterial small subunit ribosomal RNA", at positions 28 to 523 of the family's 1533-position model. The record is from RNAcentral.